UAAGAAAAUUCCAAAAAUCAACUGAUUUGCUAAUACAUCGAUUACCAUUUGCGAGAUUGAUAA
RNAcentral lists this transfer RNA (63 nucleotides) under Cryptomonas paramaecium. Its description in RNAcentral is "Cryptomonas paramecium partial tRNA". The record is from RNAcentral. Lineage: Eukaryota; Cryptophyceae; Cryptomonadales; Cryptomonadaceae.